AAAUUGUCUGCACUGACCAAGCAUGUUUCACCUAACGCUUGAUCCCACUUCAAAAACACCUUUCAUUAAAGGAUUGGAGGAAGACAAUCAUAUCGUUCUUCAAUGUUUAAAAAUGUGGAAAGCGAAGUUACAAUGCAUUGUUGCGCCAACAUGGAUGGCACCAAGAAGCUGCCGCUGCUUGUGAGGGGUAUGGUUCGCCCACUCUCAGUGAAAAGUGAAAAACUUACUAUCAAGUUAAGAACAUGAAAGUUCCAUGGCCUGUUGGAGUCUCAGGAGAAAACUACAGAUCUGAUUAUAUGAUUGCUAACCUGGCAACAAGAGGCUGUGUACAUAGAACAUAGAACAAAGAACAAUGCAGCACAGGAACAGGCCCUUCCGCCCUCCAAGCCUGCGCCAACACACUUUGACCUUCUACAUUAAAAUUGUCUUCAUUUACAGGAUGUGUAUUCUUCUAUUCCUUUCCUAUUCAAGUCUUCAUCUAGAUGUUUCUUGAUUACAUGGAUACUGUCCAAAUAUAAUUGCAGUCCCCACAUUCUGGCAGCGAGUCUCAGCAUCUUACCCAGGUGCUGCUAACUUGUUUUAUAGUCAACAUUACAAACAAUAUCCUUCCUGAAGCCUUUCUGCUUCUAUUACAUUGUCACAGGUGUUUCUUCUGCAGGCUUACUGCUGAACUUGGAAUUCUCACCUCAUAGUUUAAUCAGUUCAGCAAGAUCUUUAUUGUGAAUCCCUUUCUCCCAAGGAUACCUUCUUCAGCUGGUGAUAUUAAGUAUUGAGAUAAGACUUUCAGUGCACUUACUACAGUUUCUCAAUUUGUUCUAUAAUCUGAUGGUAUGGUUGUGAAUUGUGGAGGUUUAUCAAUCCUUUCUAAUCUAGACUGGAUGCAUACGUUGGAGUUUGGAAUAUGGUGCACUUUGUUAGCAUUAGAUGCAUUGAGUUUUGGUUUGACCCAUAAACUACUUUAUUCUCCACUAACUGAUACAAUCAGAGUCAUUCAAUUCAUUUUAAUAUUUGAUGUUUUUGUAUUCAAACUAAAGAAGGAAAAUCUAGUGUCACUGUUAUGAUGAUGGAGGAUUUCACCAGUUUCCUCAUUUCCCCUC
Non-coding RNA from Chiloscyllium plagiosum (whitespotted bambooshark), 1097 nucleotides. The record is from RefSeq and is a predicted model, not a curated record. Lineage: Eukaryota; Metazoa; Chordata; Chondrichthyes; Orectolobiformes; Hemiscylliidae.